This 1369-nucleotide ribosomal RNA is filed under the name uncultured prokaryote. RNAcentral's name for it is "partial 16S ribosomal RNA". It matches the Rfam family "Bacterial small subunit ribosomal RNA", at positions 27 to 1394 of the family's 1533-position model. The record is from RNAcentral.
GGAUGAACGCUAGCGGCAGGCUUCAUACAUGCAAGUCGAGGGGCAGCAUAAAUUACUUGUAAUUUGAUGGCGACCGGCGAACGGGUGCGUAACGCGUAUGCAACUUACCUUUUACUAGAGAAUAGCCAAGAGAAAUUUUGAUUAAUGCUCUAUACACUUUAAGACUCUCAUGAGUCUAAAAGAAAAGCUCCGGCGGUAAAAGAUGGGCAUGCGUUCUAUUAGCUUGUAGGUGAGGUAACGGCUCACCUAAGCUCCGAUAGAUAGGGGUCCUGAGAGGGAGACCCCCCACACUGGUACUGAGACACGGACCAGACUUCUACGGAAGGCAGCAGUAAGGAAUAUUGCGCAAUGGAGGCAACUCUGACGCAGCCAUGCCGCGUGCAGGAUUGAAGGCCUUAUGGGUCGUAAACUGCUUUUAUUUAGGAAUAAACUUUCGUACGUGUACGAAACUGAAGGUAGUAUAUGAAUAAGGACCGGCUAACUCCGUGCCAGCAGCCGCGGUAAUACGGAGGGUCCGAGCGUUAUCCGGAUUUAUUGGGUUUAAAGGGUGCGCAGGCGGUACAAUAAGUCAGUGGUGAAAUCCCGAGGCUCAACCUCGGAACUGCCAUUGAUACUGUUGUACUCGAGUAUAGACGAAGUAGGCGGAAUGUAGCAUGUAGCGGUGAAAUGCUUAGAUAUGCUACAGAACACCGAUUGCGAAGGCAGCUUACUAGACUAUUACUGACGCUAAUGCACGAAAGCGUGGGGAGCGAACAGGAUUAGAUACCCUGGUAGUCCACGCCGUAAACUAUGAUCACUCGAUGUUGGCGAUACACAGUCAGUGUCUAAGGGAAACCGAUAAGUGAUCCACCUGGGGAGUACGAUCGCAAGGUUGAAACUCAAAGGAAUUGACGGGGGCCCGCACAAGCGGAGGAGCAUGUGGUUUAAUUCGAUGAUACGCGAGGAACCUUACCUAGACUCAAAUGUAAGUUGACAGUUUCUGAAAGGGAUUUUUCUUCGGACAAUUUACAAGGUGCUGCAUGGUUGUCGUCAGCUCGUGCCGUGAGGUGUCGGGUUAAGUCCCAUAACGAGCGCAACCCCUACUCUUAGUUGCCAGCAUGUAAUGAUGGGGACUCUAGGAGAACUGCCUACGCAAGUAGAGAGGAAGGUGGGGAUGACGUCAAAUCAGCACGGCCCUUACGUCCAGGGCUACACACGUGCUACAAUGGCCGGUACAGAGGGCAGCCACCUGGUGACAGGGAGCGAAUCUCUAAAGCCGGUCUCAGUUCGGAUCGAAGUCUGCAACCCGACUUCGUGAAGCUGGAAUCGCUAGUAAUCGCGCAUCAGCCAUGGCGCGGUGAAUACGUUCCCGGGCCUUGUACACACCGCC